AUAUUGCACAAUGGAGGGAACUCUGACGCAGCGACGCCGCGUGAGCGAUGAAGGUCUUNGGAUCGNANAGCUCUGUCCUUGGGGANGAAGGUCUUCGGACUUUACGGUACCUAAGGAGGAAGCCCCGGCUAACUACGUGCCAGCAGCCGCUGUAGUACGUAGGGGGCAAGCGUUGUCCGGAAUUAUUGGGCGUAAAGGGUGCUUAAGUGGCCUUUUAAGUAAGGUGUGAAAGCCCACGGCUUAACCGUGGGACUGCAUUUGAAACUGGAGGGCUUGGGUAUCGGGGAGGGUAGUGGAAUUCACAGUGUAGCGGUGGAAUGCGUAGAUAUUGGGAGGAACACCAGUGGCGAAGGCGACUACCUGGACGAAAACUGACGCUGGGGCACGAAAGCUAGGGGAGCAAAC
This 405-nucleotide ribosomal RNA is filed under the name uncultured bacterium. Its description in RNAcentral is "partial 16S ribosomal RNA". It matches the Rfam family "Bacterial small subunit ribosomal RNA", at positions 361 to 773 of the family's 1533-position model. The record is from RNAcentral.